AUACCACGUUGAAAUACCUGUUCCCGUACGACCACCGAAGUUCAGCAACGUCGAGCCUAGAGGGUACUUAGAUGGGUGACCACUUGAGAAUACCAGGUGCUGUAAG
Molecule: non-coding RNA, 106 nt
Organism: Acanthosepion pharaonis
Lineage: Eukaryota; Metazoa; Mollusca; Cephalopoda; Sepiida; Sepiidae
Source: the annotation of a GenBank genome assembly